GCGUGUCUGAUAUAAUCUGGUGCAAUAGGGCAUCGCUUUGAUGUACUUUUAAGUUGCAUUAUUGUUUGUGGAGCUGCAGUGGCACUUCCUCAGAAGACUCAGUGAAGAUGGCACAGGUGGUUUUUGCACUCUUAGCUGUGUCCCUGGUGUCACUCUGCACCGGACAGGACUUUUGCCCAAAGGAAAAAUGUCCUCAGUACAAAGUGGUUGAGACGCACCAGGACUUUGAGGUGCGCUUAUAUGGUGCUACCGACUGGAUUACCACAAAGCUCGACAGCACCAGGAUCAGGGAUUAUUUAGCUGCAAAUUCACGCCUGAAGACCUACGUCAAGAGACAGGCUGAAGCAGGUUUUGAGAUUCCUGAUGAUUGCCGGCCUGUACUGGUCACUGUUACUGAAGGUGAAGGUGAUCCUAAAAUGUCGGUGUCGUGGUUUGUUCCUUCUGGUGGCAAAAAGGGAGAAAUAUAUGAUCCAUUAGUCAAACUAGAAACUUAACCUGAAGCCACUAUCUAUGUAAGGGUUUUCGGUGGUGCUCCAAGCACUGAGACUGGCCAGGAAAACACAAAGACUCUUCGUGAGGCCUUGGCUAAGACUGGGAAAACCUUUGAUCCCAGCACUCAUGCUGCAGCUACCUAUGAAUCCUAUUUUUCUUUUACUCACCACAAUGAAAUCUGGAUCAGUGCUGCCUCACAACAACAGAACUAAGUAAAUGCUCUUGUCAGGUUGCAGACCUUUUGCACUGGUUGCUGCACAGAUAUGAUGUGUGCACAAAGGAACAGGGAAGAGAGAACGUCAACAGAACUAAGCAAACUGAUUUCUGGAAUGUUGUGGUUUAGUUUAGUUCCUGGAACUGAAAACAUAGUAACAGUUUGUUCUACUUUUUCUUUAUUCUCUUUCAUCUGUGAAUAGAAAGUAAUGAUUUCAGAUCACCCCUUAAUCCCAGGAGGACUUGGCUCACAAAACAUUGUUUGCUGGUUGAUUGUUUAGAACACCUUGAUAACUUUUAGACUCUAACAUGACAUUUUAUGUCUAUUUCUGGAGUUAUCAUUUAUAUUGAAGAGUUUAUUUUUAACCAUCUUAUUCUUAAAAUUUGAAAAGUGCAUUGUCCCUAAGAGAUAUAAAAUUGUUUUGUCGUUUUUCUAAAUUCCUGUUAUUUCUUACUGGGUAAUUUAUAUUCUGCAAUAAAACAGCAUUUUGUGAGCAUUUUGCAUUCUGUUACUGUGAAAUUUUCUAUAACUACACCUCCUAUAAAAGUCCCUUCCCCACCUAUACCUCACCUAUACCCCACCUAUCACUUUCAUGAGCAAGUUCAGAGACAAGCUAGAAGAUUCCAC
Astatotilapia calliptera (eastern happy) is the source of this 1333-nucleotide long non-coding RNA. The record is from Ensembl. Lineage: Eukaryota; Metazoa; Chordata; Actinopteri; Cichliformes; Cichlidae.